UGGGGAAUUUUGGACAAUGGGCGAAAGCCUGAUCCAGCAAUGCCGCGUGUGUGAAGAAGGCCUUCGGGUUGUAAAGCACUUUUGUCCGGAAAGAAAUCCUUGGCUCUAAUACAGUCGGGGGAUGACGGUACCGGAAGAAUAAGCACCGGCUAACUACGUGCCAGCAGCCGCGGUAAUACGUAGGGUGCAAGCGUUAAUCGGAAUUACUGGGCGUAAAGCGUGCGCAGGCGGUUUGCUAAGACCGAUGUGAAAUCCCCGGGCUCAACCUGGGAACUGCAUUGGUGACUGGCAGGCUAGAGUAUGGCAGAGGGGGGUAGAAUUCCACGUGUAGCAGUGAAAUGCGUAGAGAUGUGGAGGAAUACCGAUGGCGAAGGCAGCCCCCUGGGCCAAUACUGACGCUCAUGCACGAAAGCGUGGGGAGCAAACAGGAUUAGAUACCCUGGUAGUCCACGCCCUAAACGAUGUCAACUAGUCGUUGGGGAUUCAUUUCCUUAGUAACGUAGCUAACGCGUGAAGUUGACCGCCUGGGGAGUACGGUCGCAAGAUUAAAACUUAAAUGAAUUGACGGGGUCAUAGCUGUUUCCU
Molecule: ribosomal RNA, 585 nt
Filed under: uncultured bacterium
Lineage: Bacteria
Description: partial 16S ribosomal RNA
Rfam family: Bacterial small subunit ribosomal RNA
Source: RNAcentral